This is a long non-coding RNA of Dicentrarchus labrax (European seabass), 3589 nucleotides long. RefSeq lists it as uncharacterized. The record is from RefSeq and is a predicted model, not a curated record. Lineage: Eukaryota; Metazoa; Chordata; Actinopteri; Moronidae. The transcript has 2 exons.
GGUUAGCGUAGAUGUUGCUAGCAUCAGUUAUACCAGAACUUGAGAGUAUUGUUUGAUGGAAGAGAAAAAGAAGAGCAAGCACUUGCACCGAAGGCUUUUCUUGAAGGAAAAGAUGUUUUCUCUCUUCUCCCAACUGACUUCGUUUCCGACGACAACUUCCCAGACGGAUCUGUGUAACAAACCAUCUGGCACAGUCAUGUUACUUAACUCUGACCCGACUGACUUUCUCUUUACAUAAAGGUGCCAACAGCAGUGUAAUAAAUGGUGAGCACAGGAUCCACAUCGAAAUGUAUCUGCUUCAGACAACCAUCCUAUAGUAAAAUCAAUGUAGAGAUGCAAUCAUGGUAAAUGUUCUUGCUCAGGACACUUUGACAUGCAGCGGGAGGAACCAGGGAUCAAACCGCCAACCUUUUGCUUGGUGGAUGACCUGCUCUACCUCUUGAGCCACAGCUGCCCAGCAUGGACAACUGACUCUGUAUAUUGAGAUGUAAUGCUGUUUUAUGUGGAUAGUAAUUACCCCAGAGACACAAACAUCCACUUGCCUUCAUCUGAAUGUCCUGUGCUUUCCAAUGAGGACGAAGUCUUCUCAGGAUGUCCAGGAUUCCACAACGAGGUUCCAGCUGAUCAAUAUGGAUGUCUACAUGGAGAAGCUGAUUCCGAGCACCACCAGGCCCACUGUCCAUUUUUAACAAAGCAGAUCUGAAGUACUUUUUGAGAAUUUAGAUCUCAGAAGAGAUUUUACCUUGAAAAAUAUUGAGGUCCAGAAUUUGUUCAGAAACAUUCAGACUAAAGUCCUACUGUGUUCUAAGACCAGCUGAGAUCCAGACCCAACAGUUCAUCGAAACAUCAUCCAAACAAACUUAAAAGGGGAAGACAUAAGAGACAGAGGUCUACGAUCUGCUCUGUCAGAGCAAUUCAAGAACCAUCAGUGCUAUCUGGAGGUCACUGCAAUUGUUCACUUGUGUGUCCAGUGACUCAGCAGCCUACCUUGCUUAUCAGGGGCCAAUGUUCCUAUGGGCAUCUUCAUCCCCACUGUUGCAGAGUUUACAUAUUAACCACGGGUUUGAGCCCUGCUACAGGCACCUGUAGUGUUAAACAGAAUUCAAUGAGAAAACAUUUUGAUUUGAUUUUGAUUUUGAAGCUCUGUAAUGAAGCAUGAUGAUUAAAGUUUUGCUUCAUUAAACCAGACCAUAUUUUACUUCUAACUAGUUAUACAUUUAACCAUAACCAUAAAUUAAGUAACCUAAAAAAAAUUUACUUGAAAUUACUACUUAAAUAAAACAUUUUUUUUAAGUUUUAAGUGUUCAAUGAAUUGCAACACAGACCUAAAUAUCUGCAUUUAAUUAAUUUUUCAUUAGUAGAACCACUCAGAUGUCAGUCUGUGCUAUCAGCCACAAAGAUGUGACACUCGCACUGCAUAUUUUCUCUCGUGAGACUGAGCUCUCUUUGCUGUCAGUUUCAGCACAGCUCUCUGAUACCUGAUGCCACACCACGCUGCUCUAACAUUAAAACUGAGCAGGCUGCAAACGUCACUGCAGCAAGUCCCAAUGCAGAAAUUAGGUUACAGUUUACUUUGUUGAAGAUCAUUUAAGCUAAAAAGUAGGCAUGCGACAAAAAUCAACCCAAUAUGAUGACUUAUGAUUCUCCAAAUAAUUUUCAGAUGCAUUACAUUUGGCCUGUGUGCAGCAGCAAAGACUUUAAAUGUCUAUUGUCUAACCCAAGUCAUCUUGUGAUCUAGAGGACCCAUUUAAAUAUCAUACAAUUAGUUCAGUCAAACAUGACCUUUCAUGCUAGUUCAAUGCCAUGGAACAUUUCAACAUGAUCACUGUGUAAACACAAAACGAAUUUCAUAAACAUUGGAGCAGCAUGUUUUCAGUCUGUUAAAUUAUUUAGAUGUUGGGCCAAUGUUUACCAUUUUGCAUCAUUACAGUAAUUGCCUAGAAGUCACGAAUGUGGUGAUCAUCUUGAACCGAAUACUUUUGCAAGCUUUUAGACGCAAAUGAAAUUCACUUGCCAUCAAAGAGCGUCUCAUCAUCAAAGAUGUUGUGUAUUGAAAGAGAGAUGAGUGUCUCGAUUAAAAAUGUAAGGGUCAGGCAGUAGAAUAGAGUAGUAUAGAGUAGCAGAGUCAGUGUUUGUGUUACUGCAUGUAACUCUCAAGUACAGCUGAACAAGAGGGCUGGUUGAAGAAGAGAUGACACACACAAUAACCCAUGCAUUCACAAAUAUACUGUUAUGACACAUCUCAGACAGAUUCACUUACUGUAUGUCUGGCUUCUCUUUUUUCAUGUUGCUCAUGAUUGUUAAUAUGCAGACAUUAACAUUUGGGCCUUUGAGCCUUGAAAAUUAAUCAUUUAUGAAAGGAUCAACAAAGUACCAGUUGUGUUGAGGGCAGCAUGAAAGAGUAACAAAACUGAGUUAAUAUUGCUGGAGUUUCUCUUGACUGCUUGACAUUGCCUGGAUUAUGGGUAUUUUUCACUGUAGUCAUUUAAGCAAUAGAACCAGCUAUUCAACAAAAUGUGGAAAUAAAAUGAGAGGAAGGAGAAUAGUAGAGGAGAGGAUCACAACAUUUAAUAAUCAGCUUUUCUUUCUUAUGGAAACUGCUACAAACAUUUCCAAGAUUUCUGGAUAAAGGAUCAACUGGCACAAAUAGUAAUUCAAAUGGUCACAACUUUCCAUUUUUAAAGGAUAAGGCUGGUGAUAUUCUGUAUUUUAUUCAACAAAUCAACAAAAAAAAAAUAUUUUUGACUUUCCUACCCAGUCUGUGGCUAUCAGCCCCAAGCCAUUUGUUCAGAAAAAGACUGAAUACAAAUAUAGUUUCAUUUUUGAAAAGGUUUUUCCACUGAUUAAGAGUCUGUUUCUCCAGUUCAUUCAGAGUACUCAAUUAUUUAAGGGUAAACUCUUCAAGUGACCCUUCAUAAAGAAUUGUCAGAUUGUUAACAUUAGUUUAAUACUAAUACUACUUUAAUAUUUGGAUGAGAUGCCAAUGAAUAUAGAAUCUGUACACAUGGCCAACUGAAAAAAUAAAAAAGUACAAAAAUUAUUAUUAUUAUUUAUUAUUAUAAUUAUUAUUAUUAUUAUCACUAUUAUACUUGCAUUCCAGAUGUUUACAAAAUGGCAAAAAUAGGGGAUUUUAUCUACCACUUAGAGAAAAUUUUCACUUCAUCACACUUGAUCAACUUGUUGUGUCUCGUCAAGUUUGUUAAGUUUAGUCAUGUUAAGUGUUUCAUGUUUAGUCCUUCCUGUUUUAUUUUGUACUCAUCUUUUCCUUCACUAUUCAAAUCCUGACUUCCUCCCUUUGUGUGAUUUUCCCGCCUUUGUAAUUGUCUGCCCCGCCCCUGAUUGCUUUUACCUGUUCUCACUUACACAUGAUAUAAAUAGUCCUUGUCUCCCUUUGUCACUUCAUCUUGUUCAGUAAGUCAGUGAGUAUUGUCAAGUGUUGUAGUUCAGAGUCCAGGUUAUUUCAUGUGUCAAUUGAAGUUUGACUUUUUGUUUGCGUUUUUUUGAUAUCCUCCUUGAGAGCGACUUGUUUGCAUUUUGAUAUCCUCCUAGAGAGUGCCUUUUGUUUAAUAAAUAUGUUUUUUUCCUGCAA